UGAAUGUUGGUGUCAUGGACCUAGCUCCUC
RNAcentral lists this non-coding RNA (30 nucleotides) under Mus musculus (house mouse). Lineage: Eukaryota; Metazoa; Chordata; Mammalia; Rodentia; Muridae. The record is from RNAcentral.